AGUGAACGCUGGCGGUAGGCCUAACGCAUGCAAGUCGAACGGCAGCACAGGAGAGCUUGCUCUCUGGGUGGCGAGUGGCGGACGGGUGAGGAAUACAUCGGAAUCUACUCUGUCGUGGGGGAUAACGUAGGGAAACUUACGCUAAUACCGCAUACGACCUACGGGUGAAAGCAGGGGAUCUUCGGACCUUGCGCGAUUGAAUGAGCCGAUGUCGGAUUAGCUAGUUGGCGGGGUAAAGGCCCACCAAGGCGACGAUCCGUAGCUGGUCUGAGGGGAUGAUCAGCCACACUGGAACUGGAACACGGUCCAGACUCCUACGGGAGGCAGCAGUGGGGAAUAUUGGACAAUGGGCGCAAGCCUGAUCCAGCCAGACCGCGUGGGUGAAGAAGGCCUUCGGGUUGUAAAGCCCUUUUGUUGGGAAAGAAAUCCAGCUGGCUAAUACCCGGUUGGGAUGACGGUACCCAAAGAAUAAGCACCGGCUAACUUCGUGCCAGCCGCCGCCGUAA
Molecule: ribosomal RNA, 506 nt
Filed under: uncultured bacterium
Lineage: Bacteria
Description: partial 16S ribosomal RNA
Rfam family: Bacterial small subunit ribosomal RNA
Source: RNAcentral